Molecule: long non-coding RNA, 242 nt
Filed under: Lathyrus oleraceus (garden pea)
Lineage: Eukaryota; Viridiplantae; Streptophyta; Magnoliopsida; Fabales; Fabaceae
Description: Pisum sativum (pea) long non-coding RNA (PSAT_LNC028596)
Source: RNAcentral
AACCGCCAAAGUUUCUCCAGGAGGUAGGUUUUUCACUCUCCUUCUUUUAUUUGCAGUUACCACCAUGUAGUCUUAGGCUUGGGGAAUCAAAGCCCUAACACUGUAGAUUUUGAUUCUCCCUCAAAAGCAUUUAAUUUUGGUUUUUAUUUUUAGGUUGGGUGAGAGGGUCUGUUUGGUUUGGAUUGUGGUUGUUUUGGACCUCCGCCGCUAUCAGAGGCAAUUUCCGACGCGACGGAGUAAGG